AUUAGCGAUAUUUUGGAGAUCCAAAACCUUAGCUUGUGCAUGGUCCAAACUUCACUGAGCACUCAAGUAUAAAUAAGUCUUACAACUCCCUAACGGAAAACUUAAUGACUUCAACUUAAAUUGCAUGCUAACCUACAAAUUGGGCUACUUAGUAAUUAAAACCUUGUGUGCUUUUGAAAUUCUUAUCAGUUAUGUACUUGAAAUUAGACUUUCAUUUCAUAAAAUAAAUUUUAUUUUGGGAUUGAAGUUUGUGGGUAACUUCACUGCAAACCCUCACGAGACAACACUCGUCCACUAGGGUAACCUAGGGGUUUAAAGGCUUGUUGCACGUGCUAAGUGCAAUCGUAAUGCUCUACGAAAAUGAGUAUUUAUCUUA
Molecule: long non-coding RNA, 376 nt
Filed under: Phoenix dactylifera (date palm)
Lineage: Eukaryota; Viridiplantae; Streptophyta; Magnoliopsida; Arecales; Arecaceae
Description: long non-coding RNA (PDAC_LNC005725)
Source: RNAcentral